Molecule: transfer RNA, 64 nt
Filed under: Eurypogon sp. EUR01
Lineage: Eukaryota; Metazoa; Arthropoda; Insecta; Coleoptera; Artematopodidae
Description: tRNA-Asn
Source: RNAcentral
UUAAUUGAAACCAAAGUAGAGGUCUAUCACUGUUAAUGAUAAAAAUGAGUAUACUCCAAUUAAA